Molecule: long non-coding RNA, 4817 nt
Filed under: Homo sapiens (human)
Lineage: Eukaryota; Metazoa; Chordata; Mammalia; Primates; Hominidae
Description: HSALNT0305336
Source: RNAcentral
AAAAAAAGAUAACCUGCCCUUCCUUAAAACCGAACUGUAUGAAAUCAAUGGCACGUGCUACGGGUUAUCACUGAGGGAGGUCACUGUCCCAUCCUCUGCCUGUAGAAUCUGACAUCCAGUGGCACAAGUCACCUCUGCAUCAUUUCAUGUUCCCUCUGGGAUCAUCUUCAAAAGCUUCUAACUGCGCCUCCUGCCCUUGUUCCACUGGCCUUAGUAGCUCAUGAUACCUCCAUCUGCUAGCAAACCUCCAAUAACUCUGACCCCAUUCUCUGGGCAGGGUCACAAGGAGUCCUGCUUUUAAAUUGGGAGAUAAAAGUGGUAGCAGAAAGGGCCCGGAGAGGUAGAGCUCACAGGCUUGGCAGUGGUCAGGCCUCCAGGGGCUGUGUUUUCCUGGAGGUGCAUUUAUUGUGGGAGAAAAACUUUUACCCUUGAACCUUCUGCACUCAAAACCCCCACGGUCAAUUUUUCCAGCUCCCUGGGCCAGGGUCAGGUGCUCCCAGCUCUCUGGAGGCCCUGAUCUUUUGGCAGUGUGAUGGCAGCAUGACCACAACGACCUUGGUUUUGCUAAGACUAGUGCUGGCUCAUCUACAGGAUUCAGAUGUGUCCUUCACUCAGGGAGCAAGGAAACAGACAUGUUCUGCCCAAGGGCUACUGGCAACAUCCAAAAGGCAACAGUUGUUAACAGUUUCAUGGAUUUCCUUACAGUAGAGGAAGCUUCAAUAUAUAAUUUUUGAGGUUGGUGAUUCUCAACUAGGAGCUAUUUUGCCCCCCAUCCCCCACCCGGCAGUGUCUGGAGACAGUUUUGAUUGUCACAACUGCGAGAAGUGGGUGCUACUGGAAUCACUGGGUAGAGGCCAGCAAUGCUGCUAAACAUCCUACAUUGCACAGGACACCCCCACAGCAAAGAAUUAUCUAGCCCGAAAUGUUAACUGUGCUGAGGCUGAGAAACCCUGAUUUAAAAACUGUGCUCAUAUAAUAAAACCGUGUAUCCUCUUUUGAUUUAAUGUAAGUAUUUCCAUGUCAUUAUAAAUUUUCUACAAAUUAUCAUUUUAAAAACAAUACAAUAUUCCUGCUGAUUGCUAACUUACCCAUCUUCCUGCUGGUAGACAAUUUAGGAUAUUUUCAGGAUUUUGAUCUCAUAAAUAGAUGCUAGGCUUUGAUUUAAAGAGACUUUUCUAAGGUAUCCAAAAGCUUAUUCAUUCAACAAACAUUGACUUAGAACCUACUGAGUAGCUACGUGUAGUGGUGAACAUGGCAAAGUCACUGCUCUCACAGAGCAUACAUUCUAGAGAUUCACAUUAAGCAAGCACCCUGACAAACAGACACACAAAAUAUUCGCAACACUGAUCGGUCCUGUGAGGAAAAUGACACGGGGGGAGGUGACGGAGAGGAGGGUGGGUGCAUGGCCUCCUCAGCCUGGAAGCUCAGAGAGGCUCUCUGAGGACACUAGAGCAGGGCUGGCAAUGCUAUGUGCUGUAUGUCUGGAAGGUAAACCCAGAGAAUCAGCCAGGAAAUGAGGGCAGUAAGAGUUACGGUACAGACCGGGUGCCUGACUCAUGGCCGGUGCUCAAAAGCUUGUUGAAUCAAAUUCUGAGAGAUGCUUUGCUGUGGCUUUGCUGAUGCCUGACCAUGAUUUCUGUGUUACACUUUGGGAGGGAUUUGGUAAACACAAGCUAUAGGUAAAAUUGACUGCAUUUUAUUCAGUAGUUCCCUCCACACUAUAGGCUUCUGUUGACUACACAGGACAAAUGCAACUUGGUGUCCCCAAGGCCUAUCCCAAUGCUGUUCAGAGAAAGACCCACCACAUAUGGGGACUGAUUUGCCUAGUCAAAUCCUGACCUUGCAUUCAGUUCCUGAGUCCCAAGACCCUGUGCCCUGCUCUUUCCACAGGUCUGCAUACGGAUGCCUGGUGCACACCCAUGCUAGGUCUCCAGUUUGGUGCCCUCCCUUGUGCCUAGGUCUCCCAGAGUGGCCAGUCCCCUCUGGGGUGUCCUACCACACUUGGAGCCCUGGCUCAGCAGCAAGUCCUGAUCCCUGUCGAUGGAACCCCUAAUGCUGCCUGCAUGGGUCUCUGACACCCACUCAUGAUCCUGUCACAGUGACACACCAGCCCACCGCAGUUCCCACUACUGUUCCUUCGUGGGCUCCAACUCUCAAAGCAGCAGACAUCUUUUCUGCUGCACUGGCUAGGACCUCACAGCUAGGUCCCUCUCUCUUAUUAGGACAGCCAGCAGCUCUAUCUCAGGCCUUUCCUCUCUGCUCUGCACUUUAGCAAAACACUUCACCGUGACUGAUUAUGUCCUAGUGAGGUAGCAAUGCGCUUGAAUUAUGAAUUUAUCCAGGAUCCACUGUGGGAGUUAGUGUGGCAACCUAGAAAUAGUAUGAGCUUGAGGCCAGAAAGGCUGGGUUCAAAUCCUAGUUCUGCCACUCACUGUGUAUCCUUGGACAGCUAAUUUAACUUUUUUGAAUGCUACGUCCUUUAGCUAAAAUAAGAAUAUCACCUAGAUAACCAGUUUUGUUACAAGAAGCUUGGGACAUGAAAUGGUAAGUGAAUGAUCCAUCACCUGGUCUAUAGUAGCUGCUCAAUAAAGACCAUUUUUCUUCUCAACAUUUCACAUCCUAGAAUGCCAACUCACUAUGAGAAGCAGGAGUUGACUCUUUGAUUUAAGCUUCAUUUUCACACUCUUCUCAGUGUCCCCUUACUCAGACGUACCAUUGUUAUUCCCUCCUUAUCACCUCUUCACACCCUAGGUCUGUGAAGUGCUUGUGCCAAGCACUUGCUCACAGUAUUCCAGAGAUCCAGAGACCUUAACUCCUCUGAGUGAGGUCGAAAUGCUGACUGAUAUGUGACCUCUUCUUUACUCAGAAACCCUCAGACGGGGCAUAAACACCUAUUCGGUCAUUGUUACCCAGCGCUGGUCUACUAUGUAACACUCUGAACCUGCUGGUUCUGAGAAACCUGUGCUUGAGAGGACAGACUCCCCUGCCACAUCUAUGAGAGCAGGACCCAUUAAGGCACUGUUACAGGGAAAGCUUUUUUUUUUUUUUAAACAAACACAAUAAAACACAUCCAUCCAAGUGACUGCUGUUCCAUUCACAGUGUCUAUCAACAUUCAACAUUCAAAGCGUAUCUGGAGCCCUCUCUGAGAACUGCUCUUUGACUCUGUUGAAAGAAUUCACUCAUUCAACAAAUAGUCCUUGAGGGCCUAACCAUGGGUUAGGUGCUACAUCAGCCACCAGGGAUGCAGACCAGAGAAAGAGAGCCCACUCUGCCCUGGGUGCCAUUGACCCAUUUGGCACCCACCAUGGAGGGGAGAGACAGAUACAGCAGCGCCUUUCCACACUGGUCAGCACUGAGGGGCCAAGAGCACGAAGCCUCCUCGGGGAGAGUGAAGAGAGUGAAGGGGUGAGGCCCACUUCUUCCCCUGCUUUGGCUCAUAGUCAACAACAGGAAUUCAUGGAGUUUUUUCCUUUGGCCUCCACUUCCUGUUUACACUGCUCUCUGUAAACACGAAGCAGAAGUCAAAGGAAAAAACCCCAUGAAUUCCUGUUGUUCUUGACUAUGAACCAGAGCAGCUUCCUGCAGAGCAAUGGCAAGGUGGAAGCGUCUAACACACUGACACCUGGGUUGUCAGAGGCUUUUGGUCAGCCAGGUUCUCUGCCCUCCACCUACUCAUACCCCAGGUCACUGAGAGGGGACUGCAUUCUCCCUCUGCAAGACAGCCUAUCCUGGCUUGGGUGAGUGUGCAUAUAUAGGCAAACACUGACUUAUGUCGUUCUCAUUUUUACGGCUGAAUAGUCUUGAGAAAUCGUGCUUGUUACUAGUGAUACUUUUUUUCUCCUCCUUUGACAUCGUUUUAUUGAAGUCAUUCACAGAGAGAUUAAUGAUAUUUUUCUACAGGGAAAGGGAUAUGGAGCACUUCUGCCCUUAGCUCAUCUCUUGUGAGAUGAGAUUACAGGCAACUUGAAUGUUUGUCUUCUGUAACAGGGUUUUUUAUGAUGACAGGACCUAUGGACAAUUCUUUCUUUCUCAUGUGUUUACAUUCUGGCAUCACUCACUGGAGCCCUCUGCCCCAAGAUCGUAAGAGGAGAAACCCAACGUCCCCGGAAGAUUUUACUGCCAUGUCGGAGAACCACUCUGGCGUGAUACAUUUUUAAAACAGGACCAUAAGCAAGAGAUAUUUGGAGGUACUGUUUAGGAUUCAUCUGAGAAUGGUGGUAGGAAACUGCAGCUGUCUCUGUAGGAAAAUCCCAUGCUGCACCCUGACUGAGUGGGGCCUCUCUGUUCUCUUCAGACUUCUGAGACUCAAUUUCCUCUCAAUUUGGCAGAACUCAGUUCAGCAAUGAUUUCUCUUUUUUAGAGGGUUCCUGAAAACCAAAAUGCUCUCGAGAUCCUAAGAUUCCUAAGGAAUGAAUCUCUUGUGGCGGAAUGUCAGGUACCACAGAUCCACCGAGGAAGUGAAUCUAGUCAAGAGCGGAAGCCUGCUGGUGAAAGGUGGUCUCCUCAUCUGUAAAAUGGGUGUGAUACUGUUCACUUCAGAGGUCUUUUAGGAAUGUCAGCACAAUGCUUGGUACACAAUAGGUGUUCAAUACCUGGGAGCUACUGCUAACAGCAACUUUUGAACCCCUGGGUGUAGGCAGCUCAUGAGACAGGCCCUGCCCAUUACAGAGUAAGACGCAUGGUGGGAAUACCUCUGUAGAAAUGUGUCUUUUCAGGAUUGAGGGCACACUCCCCAACUACCAGAAGAGGCCUUUUCUUCCCAGGACCUUCCCUGUCACCACUAUAAAACCUGGGCUGCAUUACAGAAAAGAAGCCA